Molecule: RNA transcript, 987 nt
Organism: Papaver somniferum (opium poppy)
Lineage: Eukaryota; Viridiplantae; Streptophyta; Magnoliopsida; Ranunculales; Papaveraceae
Gene name: glyceraldehyde-3-phosphate dehydrogenase 3, cytosolic-like
Exons: 7
Source: RefSeq, a predicted model, not a curated record
CCCUCAUCUCUUACUCUUUCCAGUACUCUUCUUCCGUUACUUUUGAAAUUCAUUUCAAUUUUUCUUUCAUUCAAUGUCAUAGGCGUUACGUUCAGGGUUUUUUACCUAAUCUUCGAUAACUCUCGGUAGAAAGUGCAGAAGAUUUGGGUUUGCGUAGCUCUACCAGUUUCAAGGUACUUAGUGCAACCAAACAAGAAAUCAAUUUAAUAACCAAAAUCCCUUUCGGACGCCAGUCCAUUGCACAACUCCAUUAUCCCAGGUAUACCGUAUAGGCGAAUAACAAUGUUUGUUGUGGGAGUCAACAAGAAGGAAUUCAAAUCAUACAUUGAAACUGUGUCUAAUGCCAACUGCACCGCUAACUGCCUUCCUCCUUUUGCCGAAGUUAUCGAUGGAAAAUACAAAAUUAUUGAAGGACUUAGGAAUGCCACUCAUUCCAUCACUGCCACCCAGAUGGCUGUUGAUGGACCAUCCAGCAAGAACUACAAAGUGGAGAAGCUGCUUUAUAGUUCAUUCAACAUAAUUCCCAACAGCACAAAAGUUGCCAAGGAUGCGUGAUGGAAUGUUCAAGAGUGAAUGUCACUAUCUUGGUUGCAAUGUCUGUUGUACUAAAGGAGUGGAAGAGGAAUCUUAUAUUUGGUACAUCAAGUGUAGAGCUUGAGUUCCCAAAGUAGUACCCAGAACCUGAUUCCCCCAAGACCGCACCGAGAUUACUAUUAUAUUUGGUACCUUUGACCAUGAGGCUGAAACUAUUGUCGUCCGCCCAGCAGUGGACAUGGUUUUCCUGUCAGAGGUCCUGCGGUAAUUGUUGGAUGAAUCUAUGAUUUCUUAUCAGCACAGAGAUUUGUAAUAAAAUUGAAGAGAGGAUUUACUAAGAUUUUAAAUCUUUUGGAUGUGUUGUACCGGAAAUAAUCACCGUUUUUCAAUGUUUUUUUAAAAUUGUUUUGUGUUUCUCCUUGGAUUUUGGUUAUUAUAUGAAGUUUACAUCCA